UACGUAGGGGGCAAGCGUUAUUCGGAAUUAUUGGGCGUAAAGGGCGCGUAGGCGGCUAGAUGUGUCAAAGGUGAAAUCCCUCGGCUCAACUGAGGAACUGCCUUUGAAACUGUCUGGCUUGAGGCCGGGAGAGGGUAGCGGAAUUCCCAGUGUAGUGGUGAAAUGCGUAGAUAUUGGGAGGAACACCAGUGGCGAAGGCGGCUACCUGGACCGGUUCUGACGCUGAGGCGCGAAAGCGUGGGUAGCAAACAGG
This 253-nucleotide ribosomal RNA is filed under the name uncultured bacterium. Its description in RNAcentral is "partial 16S ribosomal RNA". It matches the Rfam family "Bacterial small subunit ribosomal RNA", at positions 524 to 776 of the family's 1533-position model. The record is from RNAcentral.